AAACCAGCACCUCAAGUGGUCAGGAGGAUUAUUGGGCCUAAAGCAUCCGUAGCCUGUUCUAUAAGUUUCCGGUUAAAUCCACUAGCUCAACUAGUGGGCUGCCGAAAAUACUGUAGAACUAGGGAGUGGGAGAGGUAGACGGUAUUCGGUAAGAAGGGGUAAAAUCCUUUGAUCUAUUGAGGACCACCUGUGGCGAAGGCGGUCUACCAGAACACGUUCGACGGUGAGGGAUGAAAGCUGGGGGAGCAAACCGGAUUAGAAACCCCAGUAGUCC
Molecule: ribosomal RNA, 274 nt
Filed under: uncultured bacterium
Lineage: Bacteria
Description: partial 16S ribosomal RNA
Rfam family: Archaeal small subunit ribosomal RNA
Source: RNAcentral